UUGCACUAGUUUUGUGUGCCUCUCUAAUUCCAAUAGUGUGGCCUUGAGCUAGGGUGCAUAGAGGAAAAGCUGUUUUUAUCAGCAGUGGCCAGACAACCAUAGAGAUGAAUCCACAGAUAAGUGAUUGAAAAUGUCACUUGCCUACUGAUUUCAUCUCACAUCU
Telopea speciosissima is the source of this 163-nucleotide small nucleolar RNA. RefSeq annotates it as small nucleolar RNA snoR143. NCBI's taxonomy places the organism in Eukaryota, Viridiplantae, Streptophyta, Magnoliopsida, Proteales, Proteaceae. The transcript has a single exon. The record is from RefSeq and is a predicted model, not a curated record.